Non-coding RNA from Arachis ipaensis, 1041 nucleotides. The record is from RefSeq and is a predicted model, not a curated record. NCBI's taxonomy places the organism in Eukaryota, Viridiplantae, Streptophyta, Magnoliopsida, Fabales, Fabaceae.
CGUUAAAUUAUUUGCAAUAACUAGUUGCAUGCAAUAAAAGCGAAACAUAAAGAAAUACAUGUGUCUCUAAGGAAUAUAAUGGAUACUGCAUCAUCAAGUUUUGAGUUUGUGUUCCUUGCAAGAAAUAACAAACCUCCCUUCACAUACUUUCCUUUCUUUUCCCCACUCUUUAUCUCCACUCAAAUGAGCUCAUUCUUUUUGCCUCCAUAUAAAGCUAUGCUGCAAAAACACAACAACAGAGUUAGCUCAAUCUUUUAAGCCAUGGACAUCAAGCUUGAACAUGACAAAGAUGAGGAAAAGCUCCCUCUUCUGCGAAACACAGAGGUUCCAGAAGCAGAGAGGAACCUUGUUCAGCAAGCAAUUAGCCAAACAUUUGAGAGCACAGCACAUUUGGCAAACCUUCUUCCUACAGGCACCGUCCUCGCAUUCCAGCUUCUGUCUCCGAUAUUCACAAACCUUGGCAACUGCGACUCGACCGCGAAGACAAUGACUUCUUUCCUUGUAGCUAUCUGUGGCGUGUCCUGCUUCCUUCUAUGCUUCACUGAUAGCUUCAGAGACAGCAAGGGAAACAUCUGCUAUGGUUUUGCCACGGUUAGAGGCUUGUGGAUCAUUGAUGGAUCAACCACUCUUCCACCUGAAAUUGCUGCUAAGUAUAGCAUCAGGUUUAUAGACUUCAUGCAUGCAGUGAUGUCGGUUUUGGUGUUUGCGGCGGUUGCAUUGUUUGAUCAGAAUGUGGUGAAUUGCUUCUUUCCAGCACCAGAUAAUGAGACACAGGAAAUACUCACUGCAUUGCCGGUUGGAAUUGGUGUCUUCUGCAGCAUGUUCUUUCUUGUUUUUCCUACAAAGAGACAUGGAAUUGGCUUCCCACUUUCAACAAAUUAACUCUUGGUUCCAUAUUCGUGUGUGUAAACAAUGAGAUAAUCAUGUUUGGAACAAAUUAUCCGUGAAUUCAAGUUCAAAUUCUAUUUUCUUGUAAUAGGAAGGAAGGAAGGAACCCUUGGAAUUCCUUAAAUAUAUGGAUCAUAUUGUUAAUUUUGACCA